GAAAUGCGAUAAGUAAUGUGAAUUGCAGAAUUCAGUGAAUCAUCGAAUCUUUGAACGCACCUUGCGCUCCUUGGUAUUCCUUGGAGCAUGCCUGUUUGAGUAUCAUGAAAUCUUCAAAGUAAAUCUUUUGUUAACUCAAUUGGUUUCUACUUUGGUAUUGGAGGUCUUUGCAGCUUCACACCUGCUCCUCUUUGUUCAUUAGCUGGAUCUCAGUGUUAUGUUUGGUUCCACUCGGCGUGAUAAGUUAUCUAUCGCUGAGGACACUGUAAAAGGUGGUCAAGGUAAAUGCAGAUGAACCGCUUCUAAUAGUCCAUUGACUUGGACAAUACUUUUAUGAUCUGAUCUCAAAUCAGGUAGGACUACCCGCUGAACUUAAGC
This 378-nucleotide unclassified non-coding RNA is filed under the name plant metagenome. Its description in RNAcentral is "partial contains 5.8S ribosomal RNA, internal transcribed spacer 2, and large subunit ribosomal RNA". The stretch from base 1 to 105 matches the Rfam family "5.8S ribosomal RNA", at positions 50 to 154 of the family's 154-position model. The record is from RNAcentral.